RNA transcript from Heteronotia binoei (common prickly gecko), 1652 nucleotides. It is a transcript of the gene named mitochondrial translation release factor in rescue, with no coding region annotated. The record is from RefSeq and is a predicted model, not a curated record. NCBI's taxonomy places the organism in Eukaryota, Metazoa, Chordata, Lepidosauria, Squamata, Gekkonidae. The transcript has 6 exons.
GGGAAGGCUUCACCCCAGCGGCCGAUUGGCUGCUGAGCGCCGCGCGGCGAGGGCAGCCUUGUGACGCGAUUGGCUAGCAGGGGUUGGGGGGAGGGGCGGAAGGAAAGAGGCCAGGGCAUUGGGCCGUUCAGACGCGCGCCGUUGGACAUCCUAGGCUGGGAUAGGACAGGAGGAGGUUGCGUAAUGGGUUCUUUCUCUGCGAUUGGUCGGUGGGCGGGUUUCUCUCCUCCCCUUCGUUGGAGUCAGGGCGCUCUCGUGUUCGGGUAGUAAACACGCGGGCGCAUGCGCAGGACGGUGAUCGGCAAGGCCUGGUCCUUUUCUAGGUAUCUGGACUCGUCCUCCAAACUAGGAGGACGGAGUCCUCGUCUCCCGUUUCCAAUGCCUCCUUUGAGCUUGCUGCACUUCUCCCAUUCGUUGAUUCAGCUCAGCAGCGUCCCUCGGACCCCGAGGCUUUGGGGGAAGCGCCGUUUCCUGUUGCCGUGGAGGCCCGGCCCUUUAUGCCUCGUGGCCGAAAAGAAGAGCUCCGAAGACCUUCUGCCUCUGAACGAAGCGGACUUGGAAGAGCAGUUUGUGCGGGGAUCGGGACCCGGGGGCCAGGCAACCAACAAAACCAGCAACUGUGUGGUCCUGAAGCAUCUUCCUUCAGGGAUUGUCGUCAAGUGCCAUGAAACGCGAUCAGUGGAGCUGAACCGCCAGAGAGCCAGAGAAAUCCUGCAGGAGAAAGUGGACGUCUUCUACAAAGGUGAAACCAGCGAGGUUCUUCUAGAGAAGAAGGAGCUUCAGAAGAAGAAGCAGGCCAAGAGGCAGCAAGCGAGGGAGAACCUGGAAAGGAAGAGGCGUCUGAAAGAGCUGCAGACAUCGGAGGACAAAUAAGGAGCAGGCUGGGUACAUCCUACACGUGAUAAAAAUAAGAAUUUGCAGUUGUCGGAAGAUAAACUUUUCUCUUCCAAGAGCUAAAAUGCAGGAGACAGUUACCAGGGCGAUAUAGUCGGCAGUUUCUCUGUGCGGCCCCAAUCUCUCACGGCAAAAGCCCUCUGGAUGUUUUUCCCAAGGCAGGAUCCCGGCGUUCUCAUGGAUUUUCUGACACUCUUCCCUCCCAAGUUUAGUUGAAAACAGCGGAGCCAAGUUCUUCCCUUCCUGCACACAGUUACCGGGUCAACGUGGGACGUCAUGGAUGGAACUGCCUCCCUCUAUUGAAGUUUGCAUAAAGCAGAUUGGUGUGAUUGAACACAGUCAAAGAAAUGAAACCAUCUUUCUACAAAAUCAUCGGAAUCAACAUUAAGAGUUUGUCUGUUGCAGUUUGGAAGCAAUUUGGACCAACGUUUAGAAGAACAGAAUCAGGCGAGAAUGCAUCUACAGCAUUAAGCCCGGCCGUUCUGGAUGUAAUCACGCAUCGUCACACAAGGCAGACCAGAUGCAGAGAAGGAGAAGGCGACAUCAGCCAGAGCACUGCCAAGAUGAGACAACUGCAUUCCCAAGCCAUGCAACAGUGUGCAAGAAAUAUGCCGUGUGUGAGGAUAUUCACUGCUUGAGUCAUCCGCUGUAGGUAUGGACUUUCGCCUGAAGCAUCGCGCCUCCAAGCGACUGCAGGGUAGCUGCUGCCUUCCCAUUUUGUACUGGACGAUUAAAAGUGAAAGAUUUGUAUCUGCUUA